RNAcentral lists this non-coding RNA (137 nucleotides) under Bathycoccus prasinos. Lineage: Eukaryota; Viridiplantae; Chlorophyta; Mamiellophyceae; Mamiellales; Bathycoccaceae. The record is from RNAcentral.
UGAAAAGAACGAAACAAAUACGCGAAGAAGACGAGGAACCAAUCUGAUGACGAUGAUGAUGACAUACACGUGUUGUGAUGAGUCGUAAUGAUGAUUACACUAUUUAUUUAAUUUUAUUUAUUUCCUUCUCUCUCUCU